RNAcentral lists this unclassified non-coding RNA (321 nucleotides) under Apiales environmental sample. RNAcentral's name for it is "sequence contains 5.8S rRNA gene, ITS2, 28S rRNA gene". Lineage: Eukaryota; Viridiplantae; Streptophyta; Magnoliopsida; Apiales. The record is from RNAcentral.
AACGCAAGUUGCGCCCGAAGCCAUUAGGCCCAGGGCACGUCUGCCUGGGUGUCACGCAUCGUGUUGCCCCUGACCAAACAUCUCCUCGAGAGAUUUAUUUGUUCAGGGGCGGAAAUUGGCCUCCCGUGCCUUUUGUGUGCGGUUGGCUCAAAAAUGAGUCUCUGGUGACGGGCAUCACGACAUCGGUGGUUGUAAGAAGACCUUCUUGUGUCGUUGUGUAUACCCGCCGCAGUAGGGAACUCGAGGGCCCUUGGGCACAGCAAAAAUUGUGUGCACUUCGAUUGUGACCCCAGGUCAGGCGGGACUACCCGCUGAGUUUAA